AAAAUCGUGAAAAUCAUGAAAUCAAGAGGAAAGUGUGUUUCGAGGUUGUCAUCCGCAAAGUGACUCUAGGGAAAUAAAACGGCGCUGAUCUUGCACAAUAAUUACAGGACUCAUAUAAAAUAGUUCACGGGGUGUGUCGCCCUGGGAUACCACAUAAAAGCAACUAUUCUAGUCUAUUCUAUCGUUGAAAGCAUUUACCGUGUAC
Molecule: long non-coding RNA, 205 nt
Organism: Diachasmimorpha longicaudata
Lineage: Eukaryota; Metazoa; Arthropoda; Insecta; Hymenoptera; Braconidae
Exons: 3
Source: RefSeq, a predicted model, not a curated record